This is an RNA transcript of Erigeron canadensis, 1455 nucleotides long. RefSeq lists it as uncharacterized. The record is from RefSeq and is a predicted model, not a curated record. The transcript is spliced from 8 exons. NCBI's taxonomy places the organism in Eukaryota, Viridiplantae, Streptophyta, Magnoliopsida, Asterales, Asteraceae.
UUCAGCUAACCCUAAUUCUCUCUCGCUCUCUUUCCUCUCCGCCCUCCCUUUCUUCUCCGGCUUCCUUUUUUUCUCUGGUCGCUGUCUGUUAUCAGACCUACUUCGCAACUAAUCAUGUUUAAUCGAUCAUGAUAUGAGUUUCUUCUGAUCAUUGUAGGUAUGGAACAAACAGAAUGUGUGGUCUACGCUUUUCCUAUGUGAAUCAAACGACGUCGUUUUUUCUCUUUAUACUAUUGAAGAGCAUGUUAAUGAUUGCUCUGUUCUUCCGUUCUGCUUUCACUGUAAAUCCAUCGGUAUCUUUGAAACUAAUGUACCUGUUGAAUACGACUUAGCUAAUCAUAACUAUAACGAGCGUCACACUGAAUUACAACCUCUGCCGGUUUAUGUGUUUCUGAUUGAUACUCGUAUGAUUGAGGAGGAGUUAGGGUAUGCUAAAUCAGCAUUACAACAAGCGCUUUAGUUUUUGCCCGAGAAUGCUUUGGUAGGGCUUGUUUCGUUCGGGACUCAAGUUCAAGUUUAUAAGUUAGGGUUUGGUGAUAUGAAUAAGGUUUAUGUUUUCCGUGGAACGAAAGAAAUUGGGAAAGAUCAGGUUUUGGAUCAAUUAGGGUUAGGUGGAGGUGGUAGGAGAAUUGGUGGCGUGCCUGGACAAGGAUUUCAGAAUGGGACUGUAUCGAAUUCUGGUUAUACGAGGUUCUUAUUGCCUGCAUCCAAUGGUGCUUAUAUUAUUCAUCCGCUUUUGGAGGAACUAGGGGCAGAUUAAUGGCCUGUUGCACCUGAUAAUCGAUCUUUAAGGUGCACUGGAAUUGCAUUGAGUGUUGCGGCAGGUUUGCUUGGGGCUUGCUUGCCUGGUACAGGUGCUCAUAUUGUAGCGUUAGUCGGGGGUCCUUACACUGAAGGUCCUGGUUUGAUUGUAUCUAAAGAUCUCUCGGAUCCGGUAACUUAGAAACAUGAUUACACGAGCAGUUUGUAUAGUUACCAGUAAAAUGCAACUAAAGUUUUCUCGCAGUCUUCCAAAGUAUACAUCAUCAGUUGCUCAAAGGAGUUUAAAGGGCUAUUGUGUGCCGUACAUCGAGGUAGCGAAUAUUUAUACCAUAGGAGAUGUUUCAGAGCUUGGGGCAUUUGUCCAAGCAAACCACGAGAAGUUUGAGAAUUUACUUAAGCGGGAAAUGGCUCAAGACAACCAACUGAGCUCGAGUUGCAGCAAGCUUUCCAUCAGGGUAAGCAUAUUGCUACCGUCGCCAAGAAACUCAAGGGAAGCCCGUGAUGUGCAUCUAACUCACUGAAACAAUGUCAAGCUAGAUACAAUUAGGUUACCUAUUACUAACUUGUGGUUGUAUGAAACACAUUGUUUUGAUAUAUAGUACGGUGAUUUAGAAAAUUGUUGGAUUUCAUGGUUUGAAAUUGGUGGUUUGCAGAUUUUCUAGUAAUGGAUACUUUCUUUAAGUUUUUCUUUCA